Molecule: ribosomal RNA, 119 nt
Filed under: Escherichia coli
Lineage: Bacteria; Pseudomonadati; Pseudomonadota; Gammaproteobacteria; Enterobacterales; Enterobacteriaceae
Description: partial 23S ribosomal RNA
Rfam family: Bacterial large subunit ribosomal RNA
Source: RNAcentral
GGUUAAGCGACUAAGCGUACACGGUGGAUGCCUUGGCAGUCAGAGGCGAUGAAGGACGUGCUAAUCUGCGAUAAGCGUCGGUAAGGUGAUAUGAACCGUUAUAACCGGCGAUUUCCGAA